This 1456-nucleotide ribosomal RNA is filed under the name Escherichia coli. Its description in RNAcentral is "partial 23S ribosomal RNA". It matches the Rfam family "Bacterial large subunit ribosomal RNA", at positions 1208 to 2648 of the family's 2925-position model. Lineage: Bacteria; Pseudomonadati; Pseudomonadota; Gammaproteobacteria; Enterobacterales; Enterobacteriaceae. The record is from RNAcentral.
GCGACACUAUGUGUUGUUGGGUAGGGGAGCGUUCUGUAAGCCUGUGAAGGUGUACUGUGAGGUAUGCUGGAGGUAUCAGAAGUGCGAAUGCUGACAUAAGUAACGAUAAAGCGGGUGAAAAGCCCGCUCGCCGGAAGACCAAGGGUUCCUGUCCAACGUUAAUCGGGGCAGGGUGAGUCGACCCCUAAGGCGAGGCCGAAAGGCGUAGUCGAUGGGAAACAGGUUAAUAUUCCUGUACUUGGUGUUACUGCGAAGGGGGGACGGAGAAGGCUAUGUUGGCCGGGCGACGGUUGUCCCGGUUUAAGCGUGUAGGCUGGUUUUCCAGGCAAAUCCGGAAAAUCAAGGCUGAGGCGUGAUGACGAGGCACUACGGUGCUGAAGCAACAAAUGCCCUGCUUCCAGGAAAAGCCUCUAAGCAUCAGGUAACAUCAAAUCGUACCCCAAACCGACACAGGUGGUCAGGUAGAGAAUACCAAGGCGCUUGAGAGAACUCGGGUGAAGGAACUAGGCAAAAUGGUGCCGUAACUUCGGGAGAAGGCACGCUGAUAUGUAGGUGAAGUCCCUCGCGGAUGGAGCUGAAAUCAGUCGAAGAUACCAGCUGGCUGCAACUGUUUAUUAAAAACACAGCACUGUGCAAACACGAAAGUGGACGUAUACGGUGUGACGCCUGCCCGGUGCCGGAAGGUUAAUUGAUGGGGUCAGCGCAAGCGAAGCUCUUGAUCGAAGCCCCGGUAAACGGCGGCCGUAACUAUAACGGUCCUAAGGUAGCGAAAUUCCUUGUCGGGUAAGUUCCGACCUGCACGAAUGGCGUAAUGAUGGCCAGGCUGUCUCCACCCGAGACUCAGUGAAAUUGAACUCGCUGUGAAGAUGCAGUGUACCCGCGGCAAGACGGAAAGACCCCGUGAACCUUUACUAUAGCUUGACACUGAACAUUGAGCCUUGAUGUGUAGGAUAGGUGGGAGGCUUUGAAGUGUGGACGCCAGUCUGCAUGGAGCCGACCUUGAAAUACCACCCUUUAAUGUUUGAUGUUCUAACGUGGACCCGUAAUCCGGGUUGCGGACAGUGUCUGGUGGGUAGUUUGACUGGGGCGGUCUCCUCCUAAAGAGUAACGGAGGAGCACGAAGGUUGGCUAAUCCUGGUCGGACAUCAGGAGGUUAGUGCAAUGGCAUAAGCCAGCUUGACUGCGAGCGUGACGGCGCGAGCAGGUGCGAAAGCAGGUCAUAGUGAUCCGGUGGUUCUGAAUGGAAGGGCCAUCGCUCAACGGAUAAAAGGUACUCCGGGGAUAACAGGCUGAUACCGCCCAAGAGUUCAUAUCGACGGCGGUGUUUGGCACCUCGAUGUCGGCUCAUCACAUCCUGGGGCUGAAGUAGGUCCCAAGGGUAUGGCUGUUCGCCAUUUAAAGUGGUACGCGAGCUGGGUUUAGAACGUCGUGAGACAGUUCGGUCCCUAUCUGCCGU